ACGGUUAGAUUUGGCAUAUCAAAGAACCCCAAUAAUUCAAUUUUCGAUGAAAUCAAACAAAGUUUAAUUUUGGACCCUUUUGACCUCAAUAUGAACCAAUUUAAUAGCGGGGCCUACAAAUAAAAAAUCUAAAUACAUGGUUAGAUUCAGCAUAUCAAAGAACCUCAUAUAUCAAUUUUUGUUGAAAUUAAACAAAGUUUAAUUUUGGACCCCAAUUUGGACCAACUUGAAAACUGGGCCCAUAAUCAAAAAUCUAAAUACAUGUUUAGAUUCAGCAUAUCAAAGAACCCCAUAUAUUCAAUUUUUGUUGAAAUCAAACAAAGUUUAAAUACUGGACCCUAUCUUGGACCAACUUGAAAACUGGGCCCAUAAUCAAUAAAAUGCUUCGCUGGGGCGCAGCUUGAUACGACCGCAGAGGUCGAACCCUGAACAGUUGGGGCAAGUAUGGACACAACAUUCAAGCUUGAUACAGCUCUGAAUUUGGAUUGUUAUUAAAUAUUUGACACAGCAUAGGUUUCUGACACAGAAAGAAUGUGGUCUAAGAACUUGAAUUUUUUUAAUUUACCUAUUAUGGUCCAAUGUCCAAAAUCAAAAUACAUGGUUAGAUUCAGCAUAUCAAAGAACCCCAUAUAUUCAAUUUUUGUUGAAAUCAAACAAAGUUUAAUUUUGGACCCCAACUUAGACAAACUUGAAAACUGGGCCCAUAAUCAAAAAUCUAAACACAUGUCUAGAUUCAGCAUAUCAAAGAACCCCAAGAAUUCAAUUUUUGCUAAAAUCAAACUAAGUUUAAUUUUGGACCCUUUGGACCUUAAUGUAGACCAAUUUAAAAAACGGGACUUAAAAUUAAAAAUCUAAAUACACGGUUAGAUUUGGAAUAUCAAAGAACCCCAAUAAUUUAAUUUUUGAUGAAAUCAAACAAAGUUUAAUUUUGGACCCUUUUGACCUCAAUAUGAACCAAUUUGAUAGCGGGGCCCACAAAUAAAAAAAUCUAAAUUCAUGGUUAGAUUCAGCAUAUCAAAGAACCUCAUAUAUUCAAUUUUUGUUGAAAUCAAACAAAGUUUAAUUUUGAACCCCAAUUUGGACCAACUUGAAAACUGGGCCCAUAAUCAAAAAUCUAAAUACAUGUUUAGAUUCAGCAUAUCAAAGAACCCCAUAUAUUCAAUUUUUGUUGAAAUCAAACAAAGUUUAAAUACUGGACCCUAUCUUGGACCAACUUGAAAACUGGGCCCAUAAUCAAAAAUCUAAGCACAUGUUUAGAUUCAGCAUAUCAAAGAAACCCCAAGAAUUCAAUUUUUGUUAAAAUCAAACUAAGUUUAAUUUUGGACCCUUUGGACCUUAAUGUAGACCAAUUUAAAAAACAGGACCCAAAAUUAAAAAUCUAAAUACACGGUUAGAUUUGGUAUAUCAAAGAACCCCAAUAAUUCAAUUUUAGAUGAAAUCAAACAAAGUUUAAUUUUGGACCCUUUUGACCUCAAUAUGAACCAAUUUGAUAACGGGGUCCACAAAUAAAAAAUCUAUUUACAUGGUUAGAUUCAGCAUACCAAAGAACCCCAUAUAUUCAAUUUUUGUUGAAUUCAAACAAAGUUUAAUUUUGGACCCCAAUUUGGACCAACUUGAAAACUGGGCCAAAAAUCAAAAAUCUAAAUACAUGUUUAGAUUCAGCAUAUCAAAGAACCUCAUAUAUUCAAUUUUUGCUAAAAUCAAACAAAGUUUAAUUUUGGACCCUUUGGACCUUAAUGUAGACCAAUUUGAAAACUGAACCCAAAAUUAAAAAUCUAAAUACACUGUUAGAUUCGGCAUAACAAAUAAAUAAAUGUGAUCAAAGAUUUUACAAAUCUAAUGCGCCAUACUGUGCAAUUAAAGAUUACUUCUUGAAAUUUUUCAAUAUUUGAAAUUUAAGAAAAAAAAAAUAUUUGAAGAAUAAUUCUUUUUAAUUUCUGAAAUCUGAAAUGAGAAAAAAUUGACCCCCCACAAUUUCUUUUUAUCCCCCCCCCCUUUUUUCCCCAAAAAAAUUCUUUCCCUCAAGAUAUGGUCAUAAUCUCAAUUCAAAUUUCCAAUGGAGUUUGCAACCAUAAUUACCCAUUUAAAUUUACCAUAGUGCUAACUUAAUCUAUUUUAUAAUAGAAUUAAAAAUAUAGUGUCAAAUCUUUCAUAUGGAUUUUUUUGUAAAAAAAAAAGAUGCAACAUUUGCAGAUAUUUUUACUGGUCUUCCUUUAUAAAUAUGCAUUUCUUUAAACAUAAUUUAAAAGCAGUGUAAGGGAAGUAACCAAAACGUUGUAUUUGGAUUACCUCCCUUACACUGUUUUAAAUUAUCUUUAUUGUUCAUUAAUCAUUACUUUAUACAUAAUUUAAAAGCAGUGUAAGGGAGAUAAUUUCAAUGAUGUAUUUGAUUUAUCUCCCUUACACUGCUUUAAAUUAUGUUUUGUACUAAAGUAUU
This is a long non-coding RNA of Mytilus californianus (California mussel), 2437 nucleotides long. RefSeq lists it as uncharacterized. The record is from RefSeq and is a predicted model, not a curated record. The transcript has 3 exons. Lineage: Eukaryota; Metazoa; Mollusca; Bivalvia; Mytilida; Mytilidae.